This 437-nucleotide ribosomal RNA is filed under the name uncultured bacterium. RNAcentral describes it as "partial 16S ribosomal RNA". It matches the Rfam family "Bacterial small subunit ribosomal RNA", at positions 29 to 507 of the family's 1533-position model. The record is from RNAcentral.
AGCGAACGCUGGCGGCAGGCUUAACACAUGCAAGUCGAGCGGGCAUCCUUGUGGUGUCAGCGGCAGACGGGUGAGUAACGCGUGGGAACGUGCCCUUCGGUUCGGAAUAACUCAGGGAAACUUGAGCUAAUACCGGAUACGUGCGAGAGCAGAAAGGUAUAUCUGCCGAAGGAUCGGCCCGCGUCUGAUUAGCUAGUUGGUGAGGUUACGGCACACCAAGGCGGAGAUCAGUAGCUGGUCUGAGGGGAUGAUCAGCCACACUGGGACUGAGACACGGCCCAGACUCCUGCGGGAGGCAGCAGUGGGGAAUAUUGGACAAUGGGGGCAACCCUGAUCCAGCCAUGGCGCGUGAGUGGUGACGGCCUUAGGGUUGUAAAGCUCUUUUCUCCGGGACGAUAAUGACGGUACCGGAGGAAUAAGCCCCGGCUAACUUCGUG